GCGGGUGUGGCUGAGUGGCAAGGCACCGGCCUGCAAAGCCGUUUACGCCGGUUCGAAUCCGGUCAUCCGCUC
This 72-nucleotide transfer RNA is filed under the name Mycolicibacterium tokaiense. RNAcentral describes it as "tRNA-Cys(gca)". It matches the Rfam family "tRNA". Rfam says of the family: Transfer RNA (tRNA) molecules are approximately 80 nucleotides in length. Lineage: Bacteria; Bacillati; Actinomycetota; Actinomycetes; Mycobacteriales; Mycobacteriaceae. The record is from RNAcentral.